RNAcentral lists this transfer RNA (73 nucleotides) under Coleoptera sp. 15 KM-2017. Its description in RNAcentral is "tRNA-Ser". The record is from RNAcentral. Lineage: Eukaryota; Metazoa; Arthropoda; Insecta; Coleoptera.
GAAUAAUUAACAUAUGUGAAUAAAUGUGUAUAUUUUGAAAAUAUAAAAAAAAUUUGAAUUAAUUUAUUAUUCU